Molecule: RNA transcript, 2794 nt
Organism: Ceratosolen solmsi marchali
Lineage: Eukaryota; Metazoa; Arthropoda; Insecta; Hymenoptera; Agaonidae
Gene: Fatp1
Gene name: Fatty acid transport protein 1
Exons: 13
Source: RefSeq, a predicted model, not a curated record
UAAAUGGAUUUAUAAAUGACAAAGUGCGUAGCAGUAAGCAUAUCGGAUCUUGUGAAGAAGACUACCAUGAGCAGUAUCAGCAAUGAAAACAAAUUAUCGAACGCACUUACUACGCAAAUCAAUUACAACAAUAUAGAUCAAGACGUUGAAAGGGGGGAAGCAAAAGACAUCACCUCGCACAUAGUGGGGCGUCCUUCAGUGGGUAUCUUGGGGGCCACCUCCGUCGUCUCCCUUGACUGCGAAACGGUAGCAGUAGCACCUGGUGGCAGAGGUGAUAGCAUUAGUUCCUCAUCUUCCAUUCGCCGUUGGACUGUAGUCACCCGUCUGCUACGGUGUCUGCUGUUAGCGAUGUUUCUACUGGCUGGCCUUUUAGCCGCACUCACCGCCCUCUGGCUUUACAUGGGUUCGCUAUUCAUUGUUCAGCUUUGUUUAGUAGCUAUUGUUGCAUAUUUCGUCGCUGGCGGUAGACUUCGAUGGUUUUACAUUGCAUUCAAGACAGCACCGCGUGAUAUCAAGGCAAUUUGUCGUUAUAGUCGCUUAUUGUGGGCGAUAAAAGAUCAUGAGAAGAAACAUCGGAGCGUCGCUGACGUAUUUCAACAACAUGUUGCUCACAAUCCUAAUAAACCAUGUCUUAUAUUUGAAGAUCAGGAGUGGACAUUUCAACAGAUUGAAGAUUAUAGUAAUAAAGUUGCUUAUGUAUUUAAAACCCAUGGCUACAAAAAAGGUGAUGCAAUCGCACUUUUAUUAGAAAAUCGACCUGAAUAUAUUGCUAUUUGGCUGGGUCUCAGUAAACUGGGCAUAAUUACUCCACUUAUCAAUACGAAUUUAAGAAAAAGUUCUCUACUUCAUAGUAUUACUGUAGCAGAGUGCCAAGCAUUAAUUUAUGGUUUUGAUUUAGCAGAAGCGGUAAAGGACAUUGCACCAUCUCUGGAUUCAAAGUUAUCUCUAUAUCGACUGUCUGAUGAUGUAAAUACACCGAAGGAUGAAUUAGAAGCAAAGGAGCUUGGUCAUUUUUUGGCUGAUGCUCCAAGUAUGCCCCCAGUUGUCAAAGACAAAGGCUGCUAUAGUGAUAAACUUAUGUAUAUAUAUACAAGUGGUACGACGGGUCUACCUAAAGCAGCGGUUAUUACCAAUUCCAGAUUUAUGUUUAUUGCUAGUGGUAUUUAUUACUUAGCAGGAUUUCACAACUCUGAUAGAUUUUAUACACCUUUACCAUUGUAUCACACAGCAGGUGGUGUAAUGUCUGUAGGUCAAAGUUUAUUGCAUGGUGCCACAACUGUUAUUAGAAAAAAAUUUUCUGCUAGUUCGUACUUCAGUGAUUGUAUCAAGUACAACUGCACGGUAUCGCAAUAUAUUGGAGAAAUGUGUCGAUAUAUAUUAGCAGUACCUUCGAGUCCAGAAGAUAUAAAACAUAAUAUACGCGUUAUAUUUGGAAAUGGUCUAAGACCACAAAUUUGGCAUGAAUUUGUCACCCGAUUUGAAAUUCCUGAAGUAUGUGAAUUUUAUGGUGCUACUGAAGGCAAUGCAAAUAUAAUAAACAUUGAUAAUACAAUAGGAGCAAUAGGCUUUGUAUCUCGCAUAUUACCUGCAAUAUACCCCAUUUCAAUUAUCAAAAUUAAUGCUGAUGGGGAGCCAAUUAGAAAUUCCAAAGGACUUUGUCAAGUAUGCGAACCAAAUGAACCUGGAGUUUUUAUUGGUAAAAUUAUUCCACAUAAUCCUUCUAGAGCAUUUUUAGGAUAUGUAGAUAAAAAAGCAUCGAAGACAAAAAUUGUUCAUGAUGUAUUUUCAAAGGGUGACUCUGCAUUUUUAUCAGCAUGGAACAACACAAUAUUAAGUAUACUUGCAAGAAAUGGACAAGUAGUUAACAAACUCGGAAAUAAAAAUAACAGAGUGAAGAAACAGAACUUCUGUAGAUCACAGCAUAAACCGUUAAAAAAUGAUUAUUUCACUUCACGUAAAAAGGAUCAUCGCAAAGCAUCUUUUGUAAUUUUAUUCUGUAAUAUUGAUCACAUACAAAAUAGUGUAUUGAAGAAAUAAUUAUAAAAGUAAAUUUAAUAGAAAUUGAAGAAGGCCUUAGACUGAGGCAGAUUUUAAAAAAUAAACAGUUCUUCAUUCUCUCCUCCCUUGUAACGAGGGUGGACAGCUUGUCUGAUUGACGCUUUGAAAUAGGUGGUUUCUUGGAAAUAAUCAAGCAAUUCCCCAUCCUCUAAGAACGUAAAAGCUAGUCGUCACUUUAAAAAGGCGGGCGGAUCACUGCGCAGCAUCGAUCUUUUAUAAUCAUCCCGAUAAAAAUUUAAUACAAUUACUAGAAUGGAAAUGUCGAAACCGAAAAAAUAAGUCGAAAUAAAAAAAAGUAAUAGAAUGCUUCGAUCUAAAUCGAAUAGUGUUACAUCAACGGUAAGAGGCGUCAGUUCAUACCAGCAGGGCAAGAGAUCAUGUGGCUCCUAUAUCGUCAAUCAGUCUCAUCUCUGUAGGAGACAAUCAAAUUUUGAGAAGUGUCAGUUACUGUGGAAUCUUCACUUAAAUCUUCUCAGUAUCAACAGAAUACUAUUUGCUCUACAUACUUUAUGAUAGUAAUUUCUUGUUACUGUCCCUGUCUCUUCUUUUCUUUUCUAAUCUUUGGAUUGUAUCAAGUCUUGUAAAAACCAACGCUCGGGAGCCGACAUAUGCAUCUAUUUUAAAUGGCAAGAUGCUCUUAUAUGUCAAUAAGACACGAGAAAAUAAUGUGAUAUUCUUGUAGCCGAUGAACUUGGUUAUCUAUAUUUCAAAGAUAGAACUGGAGAUACCUUUCGUU